GACGAACGCUGGCGGCGUGCUUAACACAUGCAAGUCGAGCGGAAAGGCCCUUCGGGGUACUCGAGCGGCGAACGGGUGAGUAACACGUGAGUAACCUGCCCUAGGCUUUGGGAUAACCCCGGGAAACCGGGGCUAAUACCGGAUAUGACCUGGUGCCGCAUGGUGUUGGGUGGAAAGUUUUUUCGGCCUGGGAUGGGCUCGCGGCCUAUCAGCUUGUUGGUGGGGUGAUGGCCUACCAAGGCGAUGACGGGUAGCCGGCCUGAGAGGGUGACCGGCCACACUGGGACUGAGACACGGCCCAGACUCCUACGGGAGGCAGCAGUGGGGAAUAUUGCACAAUGGGCGGAAGCCUGAUGCAGCGACGCCGUGUGAGGGAUGAAGGCCUUCGGGUUGUAAACCUCUUUCAGCAGGGACGAAGCGUGAGUGACGGUACCUGCAGAAGAAGCGCCGGCCAACUACGUG
RNAcentral lists this ribosomal RNA (462 nucleotides) under uncultured bacterium. Its description in RNAcentral is "partial 16S ribosomal RNA". It matches the Rfam family "Bacterial small subunit ribosomal RNA", at positions 28 to 507 of the family's 1533-position model. The record is from RNAcentral.